UACGUAGGGGGCAAGCGUUAUCCGGAUUUACUGGGUGUAAAGGGAGCGUAGGCGGCUUAGUAAGUCAGAAGUGAAAGCCCGCAGCUCAACUGCGGGACUGCUUUUGAAACUGUUAUUCUAGAGUAUGGGAGAGGUAGGUGGAAUUCUUGGUGUAGGGGUAAAAUCCGUAGAGAUCAAGAGGAAUACUCAUUGCGAAGGCGACCUGCUAGAACAUAACUGACGCUGAGGCACGAAAGCGUGGGGAUCGAACAGG
Molecule: ribosomal RNA, 253 nt
Filed under: uncultured bacterium
Lineage: Bacteria
Description: partial 16S ribosomal RNA
Rfam family: Bacterial small subunit ribosomal RNA
Source: RNAcentral